AGUGAACGCUGGCGGCGUGCCUAAUACAUGCAAGUCGAACGAAGUGGCGCACGGGUGAGUAAUAUAUAGUUAAUCUGCCCUACACAGAGGAACAACAGUUGGAAACGACUGCUAAUACCUCAUAGUGUAGGAGGAGACUAUAUCGUAUCAGCUAGUUGGUAAGGUAAUGGCUUACCAAGGCUAUAACGCGUAACUGGUCUGCGAGGAAGAUCAGUCACAUUGGAACUGGGACACAGUCCAAACUCCUACGCGAGGCAGCAGUAAGGGAUAUUGCGAAAUGGGGGAAACCCUGAUGCAGCGACGCCGCGUGAACAAAGAAGGCUUUCGAGUCGUAAAGUACUUUUAUAUGGGAAGCGGUACCAUAAGAAAAAGCCCCGGCUAACUACGUGCCAGCAGCCGCGGUAAUAC
Molecule: ribosomal RNA, 408 nt
Filed under: uncultured bacterium
Lineage: Bacteria
Description: partial 16S ribosomal RNA
Rfam family: Bacterial small subunit ribosomal RNA
Source: RNAcentral